This 675-nucleotide long non-coding RNA is filed under the name Solanum tuberosum (potato). RNAcentral describes it as "long non-coding RNA (STUB_LNC002306)". The record is from RNAcentral. Lineage: Eukaryota; Viridiplantae; Streptophyta; Magnoliopsida; Solanales; Solanaceae.
UAUUGCAAAGAAGAUGAGGUUUGCUUGUACCAGUCAUUGACCUUUGAAGUACCAUUUCAAGAGGUAAAUCCAGAUUCUGCCCCUGCCAUGAUCUCACUUCCUUUUGAUGUGAAGCCAAAAACAUCACCAACUAGCUUACAGAUUCCGGCUAGGACGUGAUUGAUUCAUCGUGAGAAUACAUAUUACUUAAUCAUGAUUACGUGAUAAAUGAAGAGCAACUUUCACAUAUAGCAAACAUAAAAAUCAUAUUUGUAUGUUAUAGUUAUAGUUUGCAUAAUUGCGCUUCAUAGUAAAUUUUAUGUUUGCUAUGGAGCUUUUGAUUUGUAUAAUUCGCUACAAACAUUCAAUUUUAUACAAAUUGUUCAGUUUUGUAUAAAUUCAUUUAUACAUUGUAAUUUGUAUAAUUAUAAGUGUAUAGGACGAAAAUAUAAAUGAAUGUAUAUUAGAAUGACACAUCACCUUUGUGGUUCACAUUCAAUUCAAGAUAUUAAAAAGAAAUUGAUACUGUUUAGUAGAUGUCAUAAUCAUGAAUCAUUAAUUGCAUGAUAAGCAAAGGAUAAAGGAAAGAGAGUCACUCGUGUGCGUGCACUUGUCUUUUAAUGGUCGGAUGAUGAUUGCUGCCACUGCUUUUAUUUGUUUUAAAGACCUUUGGUUAGUCUUUAAUUUAUCAUAUAA